This 9549-nucleotide unclassified non-coding RNA is filed under the name Leishmania donovani. RNAcentral describes it as "gene:LdHU3.19.0410(CDS-product:protein_kinase_put ative)". The record is from RNAcentral. Lineage: Eukaryota; Euglenozoa; Kinetoplastea; Trypanosomatida; Trypanosomatidae.
AGCAGCGAACGGCACCCGUGCGCGCGUCUUACUCUCUUCCUCGUCGCUUUCCGCGCAUUCGUCCUCCGCAUCUUCCUCGUUUUGAGCAGGUAUUCUUUUCGUCUCUUUGCUGCAUCGCGCUCUCUCUCGCAGACCGUUGUGGGCCAUUGGUGAGUCGGCGUGCGCGCGCGCCUCAUCGUAAAGGAGCUUGCAUACCGAGUCGCCGCAGGCGUUCUUCAUAUUUUUGCACGGCAGGAAGCAAGCUAGACGUCGAACGAAAACGCGAGGGAGACACGCACGCAUACUCCGGAACUCUGCCCAUACGUACUGCUGCAGUGGCAUUCAACCCGCCUCAGUGGCGGAGGCGCAAGCCGCCACCUUCAAGCCCACAGCCCCAUACACACGCUCGCACAUACACACUCACACUCACACUCCCUCUGCUUGUGUGCGUGUGCGUGUGUGUGUGUGUGUGCACACAUUUGACUUGGCUCGUUUCGUUUUAUAUAUUUCCUGCUAAGGCGCAUUUUUAUUCUCCUCUUUGAUUGAGUUAUUCAUCAUCAUCAUCACUCUCCUCCCUUUUUUCCUUCCUUCGUCUCUGUGCCUCCCCCCCCCCCGCCCCAUCCCCGCCCCAUCCCCAUCCCCCCCCGCCCUUCUCUCUCCCUCUUCUGGGGGGGAUCUCCACCGCAUCCGCUUUGCAUGCCCGUGAAUUCGUAGUUAUUGGCAUACAUUUAUGUAUAAUUUCUCUUUGCUUUCGCAGCCUUUUUCAGUCGACACACACACACACACACACACACACACACAGAGAGAGAGAGAUACGCGGCGGGAGGAGACAAACAGAAAGAAAAACGAAGAGCGCCUGCCCACCCAUACAAACGCAUCACACACACGUACAGCCGAGGGAGGGGGGCAGGUGGGUGAAAAACAAAAAAAAACAAAAAGCAGGUCGCUACUAGAGGCUGAGAGAGGCUUUAUAUUUAUUACAUGCAUGUACACCACCUCCUUUUAUUUAUUUUGGUUAUUAUUAUUAUUUUGUGUGUGUGCGCGCGUGUUGACGGCUGUCCUGAUUGAGGACAUUCGCGGCCUUCUUCUCGUUGGGGCAUUUCUUUGGUGGCCGUCGUGGUUUCGCUUCUACCUUGUGUGUGUGUGUGUUAGGUGCGCGCUCUCCCUGUUUGUUCUCUCAUCGUCUUUCAUCUUUGUGUGCGUCACUGCAGCCGUUGUCGUUUGCUUGGAUCGAAGAAAAAAGGAGUCGGCCCCCUCCCCUCCCCUCAACCCUCUCCGUGUUGUUUGAUCUCUGGAGCUGACAACCUCAUCCCCCUCUUUUUGUUUUCGCGUGCUUACUGUUGCUUUGCCCGCCUUGCGAUUUCCUAUGCCCCCUUGCGUACGUGUGCGCGUGCGUGCUUCUCCUUGUUGCAUUCAUCUUCCCUCGUGGGCCAAUUUCAGCUUCGUCUCUGUGCGUUUUGGCUCGGGUGGUGCUGGAGAGCGAGUAGGCGUGCGCGUGUGCGUGUGAGAACAGAAGUGGUGGCCUCCUCCCUCCUUGCAUCCUCUUCACUCGCUUUUUUCGCUUUUCGCUAUUUUUUUUUUCUUUCGGGUCUGUCUGCGAGGCGGGCUGCAACACGAUAUAUUUUUUUCGAAAUUGGAUGGUGGCGCGCUCGUUGGUGAAGUGACCAGAAGGAUCCGGUCAUCUGGUGGGCUACUCGAGUAUCACCGGUGCAUCACUCUCACGUACCCCGUCACCGCCCUUCACGCAUCCUCCAUCGCUACGCAGUCGCAGCACGGUCGCAACGACCUCUGCCGCAUCACGCAUUCUCUCAUUCUUUCUCGCUUUCCCGCUUUGGUUUUGGUUGGCAUCCUCUUCGCUGUGCAUUCUUUCACCAUACGCGCCCUCCCCCCUCUGCCAGCUUUCGUGUUCCGUCUCUCGUUGUUUCAUUCAUUACUGCCUUCCUCUUGUCGUUACCCUUGAUGCCAAGUAGCAAUCUUGUGACGGACGCGUACCACAACACCGAGUUGGCAAUCAACGUUUUCUUUUCCAUCCACACCGAUGCGAAUCCCGUCAUGGGCAGGAAAGCGACAAAGGCUUCAGUAGUCCCCAUCGCUGCCUCGCUGCUUCCGGCAAACGCCGCAGUCAUGAUCGACGAUGACCUCACGCCUGGCGUGGCUGACUUUGGCGCCACCACAGAGCCAGCUGUGCGUAGCCCGUCAUCCGUUGAGCGCGAGGUUUUUGAGAAUUCCAUCGCAGACAUCGGCGGCGGCGGCGCCCUAUCUCAGUCAGUGGUGAGCCGCCGCGACAUGUCGCUUGCGGACAUCUCCCGAAUGCGACUGGAAGGCUGCCGUGCGCGGCACACACUCUUCGCCGCUACCACGUCACUACGUGGCAGCAUGGCCUCGUCGCUGCGGUCUACCUCGGGGUCGCCCAUGCUCCCGCUGACUGGCCGCGUGCGUGAUCAUGCGGGGAUCUGCGGCGAAACCACCUCGGCAGCCAUAUCGGCAGUCUCACAAGCGCCUGCGUGGUCGUCCCUGAAUGGGCUUGGUCGCUCAUUCAACCGCCGCUCCAGCAUGCUAUCGGUGCGCACAAACGCACUGGACACGUCGAUUGCCAUUCUUCAGCACAUGGCGCACGACACGGCUGCUCGUGCCGAGGCUGCCUGCAAUGCUCAAUCUCUCGCCGGCACCCCGUCCACCGCCACCUCCGCCUGUGGAUCCGUCGCGCUGCCCUCGUUGCAGCCGACACAGCCCUAUCCAGAGGACACCCACGCCGGCGCCCGCGGUUACAAGGUGGUGGGAAGUGGUAACACAGCUUCGGUGGAGGACAGUUGUAGCGGCAGCGGCCAGCACACGCCCGUGCUGCACACCGUGCACACGCGACAGUUCACCAGCGCUUCGGACUCUUCCUCUCCGCUGAACUCGCUCUCUGAGUCGGAGCUGUGCAGCGGGCACCUGCGCGCUGGCGGUCGCUCACAUUUGUCUGCACAGGCCUCGGCAACACACCUCACCGGCAGCGGUGGCGUUGCCAAGGCGGCGUCGGACUUACAGCACAGCUCCCCACGGUCUCACCCGGACGGAUCUCCCUUGGCUGCAAGGCGGCAGACGAUUGCCACAGCGGAUCAUCGAGCACCCCAUCAUUCAGUGGCGGUCGCCGCCACAGAGGUUGCCCUGCCAAGCGCACAGAACCAGACGACCGACGUAAGCGUCUACAACCACGACUUCCAGCACAUUGUCCCACUCGAAGUAAAGGAGGCGCUCCAGCGUAACAUGCGCCCAAUCUGCGAGGACGACGAUGACGACGACGACGACGCGCUGCUGCACGACGGGCUGAGUGCGCCGACGCCGCCGCCGCUGACAUCCUUCGCGAACGUGACGCACAGCAUGUACGAGGACACCUGCCAUUUGGACACUCCGUCCAACUAUGUGCGCACUCGUGGCACCGGCAGCGUUGGUGGUGCCGGCACGGAGAUCGCGGAUGCCCCGUUCAGCUUUCCUCCGAGUACCCUUCACGCACCUAGUCGACUCUUUGCUUCACCAAACGCACCGGCGCUGCAGACAGCCACAUCCUCGAUGAUUGCCUGGCAAACAGGCGGCACUGGCGGGGCCAAGUCGAUCCGUCCAUUCGAUAGUGACACGGCGGAGACACUGGCGGCUGGCCUGAGCAUCAGCGGUACGGGAGUACCCUUCCAGGCAUGGAAGUUUCCGAGUUUGGGCAAGCCGAACUCCGCGUCGUCGCUGCGCAAGACGUCGCUCGGCGAGAAUGGGAACGCGGAGGCGUUGCCGGAGGGCGCGGUGGGAGGUGCGGCCGCGGUGCAUCAGCCGACUGUUCCACUUUCCGAGCACUGCAGCCACCCCACUCGCGAGACCCUCAUGCCGGGAUCGCCGCAGCGGCAGUGCAGUGAGUCUCCUCCGCUCACCCGAAACGGACUUCAGGCCACCAGCAAGCACAUCACCCUCAAAACGGCAGCUACGCCGUGCUCUUCCGUGGCGGUCGGUGCCCUGUCUGGCUCUGGCGACGUUGGCCCGCGCGCAGCGUCGCUGCUGUCCGGUGUGGACGGCACUCAUCGAACGUCCUCAGUUGUGCACGGCACCCCGAUGCGCACCAAUGACGGCGCAGGUGGGCGCUUUGUGCAGCCUGCUGUCGCGCAGGGAUCGCCAUCUAGCGCGGCUGGCAGCUUGAGCGCCGCCGCUGACAGCAGCAACACGCGCAAGCUGGAGAUGAUGUACACAGUCUAUGAGCGGCUGCUGCACGCACGGCCUCCCGACAACAGCUUCCCUGAGGCUACCCCAAGGAGUCUGCAGACGCUGACCUCGCGAAGUCUGACUGAGGAGGUGACGCCGCCGCUGGACACAUCGCCGUCGCCGCCGGCUGCCCAGCAAGCGCCGCAAUCUGGUGCCGCCGGCGCUGGCUUCGAGGCAAUGAGUCAGGGUGACUGUUCUCCAUCGAUGUCCUACUCCGGCGCUCUGAGUCGCUCGGCGGGUUACUACAGCUUCGGUAAGCGGAUCAGUCUCAGUCACCCGAACAAGCAGACGCUGCCACACCAGUUCCUCGGCAGCGCCGCAAACCUGCAUGCGAUGUCGUCGCCGCCGCGCGUGGCGAUGAUCGGCACCCCCGCAGUGGCAGACAUGAUCGUGGCGUCGAACGGUAACAGCAGUGGCUCAGCCAUGGCUUUCUCGUCUACUGCGCGCGCGCGCCGACGUACUCUGGACUUGUCGGUGCUGCAGCGCAUCGACUCCCGCCCGCUGCUGCAAUCGACGCUGUUUUUGCAGAAUAACCUGCACUCCAUCUGCGAGGCGCAGGCGCGGUUCGCGCGGAAGGAGAGAGCGGAGGAUGCUGGAAGUGCGGAACAGCGCAACGCAAUUAGUCUGUCACCGUCGAAAGCGGCUGUAUCCGUAGCGGUCAAACCCGUGCCCCAGUACACCGUUCCGUUAGAGGAGCAGAGUGCGGCUGGUGUGCCGUCGCCGGCGAGCGUGGCCGACGUGGAGACGUGCGAGGGUGUGGAAGGGGUGAGUCAGGGGCGGAUGACAGGCCGCACCGCAAUCGCCGAAACGGCUUCGCCGGUGGUGCUCGGCUCCGCUGCCGCUUCGGCAACAGCAGCGUCCACCGCGCGAGAGUUGAACCAAACGCGCAGCAGCUGCAGAGGUACUCAAGUCCCUUCUGUGGACUCUGUGCUGCCGUCGUCCGUCUCGCCCUCAAUAGGCAAGCGGUCCAACGCGUCGAGUCUGCCCGUCAACUGCAUUCAAGAAGGGCAGGGGAGGCAGGAGGAGCCGCUCCGCAAGCAGGCCGAGAUGCACGUGAAUCCCACGGCCGCCGCCGCCGUGUCUGUGGCACAUGAGAGCAACGGAAUCUCACCACAUCGGUACUACCGAGCCCUCACGGAGGCAAAAUGCCUCGUGCGUCACGUUCACGGCGUCGAUGGGGUGGAGCGGGAGGUGGACAACGACUCCAUGGACUUGGUCGUGUACGCCGGCAUGCACCUGAUGGGUUGGUUGGAGGUGGUGAGUCUGCUGGGCUGCGGCAGCUUUGGUCAAGUAUUCCUUUGCAAGGACUUGCGCAUCUGCGACGGCCACUUUGUCCACCCAAGCGAGAUCGAGGGCGAGGACUACGAGUAUUGGAACUGCUCCCACGCCUACCUCCCCUUCAGCAGCGUCGACGCCGUGCCGACGCAUCGGCCGCUUGUCGCCGUCAAGGUGGUGAAAAGCGUGCCGCUGCUGGAGCAGCAGUCGGUUCUAGAGGCGGAGAUGCUUGUACUGAUCGGAGCGCAGACCGCGCUACCUCCGGCGAACGCAGCGGAGGAGGCUCGUGAGUCGGCCAUCCCGGCAUUCGCAGCGCCACAGGUGGUCGAAUUGGCGUCAAUGAGCCACCGCCGGCGGAUCCACGCUGCGCCAACAUCGCAAAGGUGCUCGCCGACGGCAUCUGCUACGGCCAUCACUGCAUUGUGAUGGAGAGGUACGGCGCGAACCUGUACGAGUACAUCGCCGCGAACGAUCACCGUGGGCUUCCCAUGUACCAAAUCCGCUCUAUCGGCGCACAGCUCUUCUCCGCUCUCUCGCUCGUGCACGAGGAGUGCCACAUCAUCCACGCUGACAUCAAGCCAGAGAAUGUGCUGCUGACGCUUGACUCAGGCAGAGGCACACUGCGGGUGACGGACGAGCCGUCGCCCAUAACCGCUGCCACAGCAGCCGCGACGCCCCCCGCUGAGGCCAUGAGCAAUAGCAACGCCAGCACCACUGCAGUGGCGACCAAGACCCCGCGUAGCGUCCCACAGCAAAAUGCGUUUGCUGAGGCUGCGCACCGCUCUCCGAGCAGCACGUCGCCAAAUGCCGAACCGCCGUGGCACCAGCAGCGCACCGAGUCUGCGGCGUCGUCGUCCGCUUCGCCCUCGCUGCCGGCAGAGCGCUCGCACACCGCGCGAGUCGGCCCUGGCGCUGUCGCGCGGCAGCGGCUCGGCUUUAAGGGGAAGCGCCGAAACUCGAACACCCUCCUGGACCUCUCCUCCUCGCCGAUGACGCUCGCGACGUACAAGGGUCACAGUUUGUGCCACCUCCGCUCAAGCUCGGCCAGCCGCGCCACCAUUGUGGAGCAAACAGACAUGCCGACCCCCGAGCCGCGCCGCAUGCACAUGCUGAGCCAGUCUUCCGCUCUUGUCACCAGUGCCGCGAGCGGCAUGUCGUUGCAAAGCCUUGGCGGUGGUGGUGCCGGCAGUUACAGUCGUCACAUGAUGCAAGCACCUGCUGCGCCCGUGGAGGAGGCGCCGGCGGUGCCAGUAGCACCGGCUGCUUCGCACCUGCACGUUCGGCUCAUUGAUUUUAGCUCCAGCUGCUACGACGGUGGCCCGUUUUACCAAUACAUCCAGUCCCGCUACUAUCGUGCACCGGAGGUAAUUAUAGGGGCGCCGUACAACUCUGCAAUCGAUGUGUGGUCGACUGGCUGCUUGCUUGCGGAGCUGCUGCUGGGCAUGCCGCUGCUCCCCGGCUGCAACGAUCACCACCAGCUCUCGCUCGUGGAGGAGAUGAUUGAGCCGCUGCCCGACUACCUGGUAGAGAAUGGAGACAACGCCGACUUGUUUUACAUCGUAGCAGCGCCGGGGGGCGAGGGUAGUACCGAUGCCGCGCUGCCUCGUGCGCCAGCAGCUGCAGCGCCCGGCGCAACUGCGUCAGCGACGCUGCAGCAGCCUCGGUCGUUUGCUUUGCGCACACGCGAGAACUACCUGGAGGUCACCGGCAGCGAGCCGCUGCAGUACCGCCGCUACUUCACGUACCAGACUCUGCAGGAGCUGGUGCGGCACUGCCCUUUGACGCUCGAGGAGCGGCGCAUGAGCAACGGGCUACAUCCGUACGUGUCAGCCAACGAGUCCUCCGCGAUACCCCCCGAUGCGACGCCGUCGCUGUCGGUGCGAUCAGACAUGAUGAAGCAGCGCUACUUGCUCUUCGAUUUGCUGCGACGUCUCCUUCAGACGGACUCGAAACUGCGCCCCACCGCCGCCCAGGCACUCCAGCACCCGUUCUUCAGCUCGCUUCCACCGUAUUUCAAGACCUUUGCGCUCGACUGAGAAGCCUCACUGGCGGUGGUAAUGGUGCACCUUCCCGAGUACGUGCGUGCUCUCGUAGUGGCUGGUGCUGAUGCGGGUGCCCCGAUGUGGACAAGGAAAGAUGGCGGCACCCCUCAACGCGUGGCAUCUCAGGGUCUGGCACACCCGCCCUCUGUGGGGCAGCUGAGUAGCCCCCCGCCCGUGUCCCCCGCCAGUGCCGAAGCACUUCUGCUGCUGGUAGGGCCAGGCACCUACGGCGUGUGGGAGGUCAGAGCGAUGCAGCGCCACUGAUGUCGGCAUCCAGGUCGUAUAUAACGCUGCGCCGGAGCGAUCUGCGACUGUGAACACGACUGUGCCAUCCAUAUGGUAGGCGACGUGUGAGCGUGACUCGAGCGUAUCUCGCCCGGCCCUCACUGCCCUGCUGGUGGGGUGGGGCGCCUGUGUGCCACCCGGAGGGUGAUGCGCCGGGUGGCGAGCAGCACAAUGGGAAGCGACUGUGAGGCAGCCUGCUUGGUGGGCGGGUGGGCAGAGUUUGAGGCAGAGACGGCGCUCCGAUGACUGUGUCGGCGCAUUGCUGUAACGCGCUUCUAGCGCUGCUUCGCACCGCGCGGAAUGGGGGCCUGUGGCAGGCUGUGAGGGGUAGGGUGGAGUGGAGCUCGUGCUGUAUGGCGGCUAAUGAAGGCCUUGUAAAAGAAAUUGACAGGAUUGGGAAGUGUGGAGGCGUGUGUGUUUGCUUUGUAUGUAUGAUUUGAAUGAGGGUGACUGUGUGCCUCAUGUUAUGAUGUCCGUCCAGCCAUUUUUUCCUGUGUGUUUGCGCGUGCGUGUCUUCUUCGGUGGUGCGGUGGGGGGUUCCUGUUCGCUUCCUUCUUUCCUAUUUUUUUAGGGGUUUCGCUUUCGUAGAUGAGCUGUAAUUUGGUUCCGUUUUUUGGGUCUUCCUCUCUCUUUCACUGUCACUCGCUCGUUUCCCUUUUUGUGUUCGGUGCGCGUACGCGUAUGCGCUUGCCACGUGAUGGCGAGGACCUGUCACGUCUCCAAGUAUGUAUGUAUCAUGUAUAUAUACUUGUGUGUGUGCCGACCAUGCACGUGUACAGUUGUCUGGCGUUCUCGUCUGUGCAUUUAAGUUUCCCGUCUCUCUCACUCUGACUCGACUUUAUAUAUAUAUAUAUCCCUUGCCCCCCCCCACGUACACACACAUCGCCUCUUUUUUUUUUCUGCCUUAUUGUUGUUUAGCGUACUCGUUUUCGUGUUCGGUCACGCAGCCUCAGCGGAGCGUGUGCAGAGGAAACGGCCUCGUGAGUCAUGCGCCGCCACACGCGCUGCCCUUCCUGUUCCCACGCGUGCUCCACGUCCUUUCCAUGAAGGCAGAGGGGUGGGGAAAGGGGGGCCUUCCACGCGAGCAGCGAUGAAAAAGGAAGACGAUUUGCGCAAGGGAGGGAUUGGCACGGUCUGCAGACACGCUUACGCGCAUACGCGGGCGCUCUUUAGCGCCCAACGCCCCGCCAACUCCUGAAAGGCUGCAAAGAAGAAGCAAGAGAAAAGGGGAAGAAAUUCGUACAAGCCGCUUUUUCAGUGGCGCCGUAGUUGGACAGCAGUUGCACUCUGCGGCAAUCUACAGCUCGGCGGCUCAUUGUUGCCCUCCUCAGUUUUAUUCCCUUGGCUAGGAAGCGUGCAAGGUUUUCAGAUGCUACACCAACCAUAGUUUCUCUCGCCCUUCUCUACCUUCGCCGCACGCGCGUGCACCGGCAGCUCGAGUAACUCUUUUCUUCCCUCUCGGUGACGCGCCUUUGAAGAGGUGUAUCACACACGGUUUCCGCACCGUAUCAAGACGAUCGUGUCUGCUCACUCGUCCACUCCUCCCGCCCCACCCCCUGUGCGCCGUCUGCCUCUUUUCUGUUUCGAGCAAACAAUCGAACACGACUGCGCGGACUCCGUCGACGACACCCGAACCUCGCACAACACGCUUCACGGUACACUGCACUUCACCAUCCCUCCACUCGACCGCGCUGUUCCCUGUGUUGCCCUCCCUCUCUCCCCCGCUUCUGUUUGCUGCGGUCAG